CAGACAGCACAUACAGGUACACAUAGGUACAGACAGUACAGACAGGUACACAUAGGUACAGACAGGUACACAUAGGUACAGACAGUACAGACAGGUACAGACAGGUACAGACAGGUACACACAGGUACAGACAGUACAGACAGGUACACAUAGGUACAGACAGUACAGACAGGUAGAGACAAGUACAGACAGGUACAGACAGUACAGACAAUACACACUGGUACAGGCAGUACACACUGGUACAGGCAGUACACACAGGUACAGACAGUACACACAGGUACAGACAGGUACAAACAGGUACACACAAGUACAGACAGUACACACAAUUACAGACAGUACAGACAGUACAGACAGGUAGAGACAGUACAGACAAUACACACAGGUACAGACAGGUACACACAGGUACAAACAGUACAGACAGGUACACAUAGGUACAGACAGUACAGACAGGUAGAGACAAGUACAGACAGGUACAGACAGUACAGACAAUACACACUGGUACAGGC
Astatotilapia calliptera (eastern happy) is the source of this 506-nucleotide long non-coding RNA. Lineage: Eukaryota; Metazoa; Chordata; Actinopteri; Cichliformes; Cichlidae. The record is from Ensembl.